GAUGAAGAACGUAGCGAAAUGCGAUAAGUAAUGUGAAUUGCAGAAUUCAGUGAAUCAUCGAAUCUUUGAACGCACCUUGCGCUCCUUGGUAUUCCGAGGAGCAUGCCUGUUUGAGUGUCAUUAAAUUCUCAACCUCUCUAGUUUUUAUUAACUAGUAGAUGGCUUGGAUUUGGAGGUUUUUUGCAGGCUUUCACAAGUCAGCUCCUCUUAAAUGUAUUAGCCGGUGCCCUCUAACCGUCUAUUGGUGUGAUAAUUAUCUACGCCGUGGACUAUUAGACUUGGUUGCAUUGCUUCUAAUCGUCCUGUAUGGGACAAUAUAUUGACAUUUUGACCUCAAAUCAGGUAGGACUACCCGCUGAACUUAAGCAUAUCAAUAAGCGGAGGA
Molecule: unclassified non-coding RNA, 385 nt
Filed under: soil metagenome
Description: partial contains 5.8S ribosomal RNA, internal transcribed spacer 2, and large subunit ribosomal RNA
Rfam family: 5.8S ribosomal RNA (bases 1-120)
Source: RNAcentral